RNAcentral lists this long non-coding RNA (413 nucleotides) under Homo sapiens (human). RNAcentral's name for it is "non-protein coding lnc-ZNF667-3:1". The record is from RNAcentral. Lineage: Eukaryota; Metazoa; Chordata; Mammalia; Primates; Hominidae.
GCGGGUCGCUCUCACUUGUCCCUGGACCGCAGCCGCCGCAUAAGUGGUGGCCAACGCUGGGCCUGGGUGUGGCCGGAAGCAGAGGCCGCUCUGACUACACACCCACCCCCCAAAGGCUUCUGGGAGUCGCGCAGGCGCAGCGGCAGACCGGGUCUCCUGGCCUCAGUGAUGGAAUUAAGAUGACUUCUAUCUCUGAAUCCAAGGGUGACUGAAAGCCGCAAGCUGCAGAAAGGACAAGAGGCAUCACCUAUGUGGAUAAAGACAGCAUCCUGAGUUGAUGGAGAAAUGGCAUAGAAGGAACCAGGUCCUUUGAUGACAUCAUGGAGCAAAGCUGUCUUCUUGCCUUGACCUGCUACCUACCUACAUGGGAAGCUGUUACUUGAGAAGGCAAUAAAAUCUAUCUUCUUUAUUGA